UCGCGGCCUAUCAGCUUGUUGGUGAGGUGAUGGCUCACCAAGGCGACGACGGGUAGCCGGCCUGAGAGGGCGACCGGCCACACUGGGACUGAGACACGGCCCAGACUCCUACGGGAGGCAGCAGUGGGGAAUAUUGCACAAUGGGCGCAAGCCUGAUGCAGCAACGCCGCGUGGGGGACGAAGGCCUUCGGGUUGUAAACCCCUUUUAGCAGGGAAGAAGCGCAAGUGACGGUACCUGCAGAAAAAGCACCGGCUAACUACGUGCCAGCAGCCGCGGUAAUACGUAGGGUGCAAGCGUUGUCCGGAAUUAUUGGGCGUAAAGAGCUCGUAGGCGGUGUGUCGCGUCUGCUGUGAAAACUGGAAGCUCAACUUCCAGCCUGCAGUGGGUACGGGCAGACUAGAGUGCGGUAGGGGAGAACGGAAUUCCUGGUGUAGCGGUGGAAUGCGCAGAUAUCAGGAGGAACACCGAUGGCGAAGGCAGUUCUCUGGGCCGUUACUGACGCUGAGGAGCGAAAGCGUGGGGAGCGAACAGGAUUAGAUACCCUGGUAGUCCACGCCGUAAACGGUGGGUGCUAGCUGUGGGCCACAUUCCACGUGGUCCGUGACGAAGUUAACACAUUAAGCACCCCGCCUGGGGAGUACGG
Molecule: ribosomal RNA, 644 nt
Filed under: uncultured bacterium
Lineage: Bacteria
Description: bacterial SSU rRNA
Rfam family: Bacterial small subunit ribosomal RNA
Source: RNAcentral